UGCGCAAUCUACGAGAUUGCGCAGUAUCGAAGCGAAGGCGAUAAGCUCGCCGCCUGGGAAGUACGGUCGCAAGGCUGAAACUUAAAGGAAUUGGCGGGGAGACACUACAAGGGGUGCGGCGUGCGGUUUAAUCUAACUCUACGCAGAGAAUCUCACCAGAAGCGACGGCACAAUGAAAGUCAGAUUGAAGGUUUUACUUGAGGAGCCGAGAGGUGGUGCAUGGCCGCCGUCAGCUCGUGCCGUGAGGUGUCCAGCUAAGCCUGGUAACGAGCGAGACCUGCGUCUACAAUUGCUAACGGAUGCUUUAGCAUGACUGAGCACAUUGUAGGGACUGCCCUGGAACAGGGAGGAAGGUGCAGGCAACGGUAGGUCUGUAUGCCCCGAAUCUUCUGGGUACACGCGCGCAACAAUGGUAAGGACAAUGGGCUACGACUCCGAAAGGAGAAGUUAAUCCUCGAAACCUUAUCCAAGUCCAGAUUGAGGGUUGUAACCCACCCUCAUGACGAUGGAAUCCCUAGUAAUCGGGUGUUAUCAGCGCCCGGUGA
This 545-nucleotide ribosomal RNA is filed under the name uncultured euryarchaeote. Its description in RNAcentral is "bacterial SSU rRNA". It matches the Rfam family "Archaeal small subunit ribosomal RNA", at positions 775 to 1321 of the family's 1478-position model. Lineage: Archaea; Methanobacteriati; Methanobacteriota. The record is from RNAcentral.